RNAcentral lists this ribosomal RNA (253 nucleotides) under uncultured bacterium. RNAcentral's name for it is "partial 16S ribosomal RNA". It matches the Rfam family "Bacterial small subunit ribosomal RNA", at positions 524 to 776 of the family's 1533-position model. The record is from RNAcentral.
UACAGAGGUCCCAAGCGUUGUUCGGAUUCACUGGGCGUAAAGGGUGCGUAGGCGGUCGGGUAAGUCUGAUGUGAAAUCUCACAGCUUAACUGUGAAACUGCAUUGGAUACUAUCCGGCUAGAGGAAUGGAGGGGAGACUGGAAUACUUGGUGUAGCAGUGAAAUGCGUAGAUAUCGCUUGGAACGCCAAUGGUGAAAACAGCUUGCUGGGAGUGUGCUGACGCUGAGACACGAAAGCCAGGGGAGCAAACGGG